RNAcentral lists this transfer RNA (72 nucleotides) under Camelus bactrianus (Bactrian camel). It matches the Rfam family "tRNA". From Rfam's summary of the family: Transfer RNA (tRNA) molecules are approximately 80 nucleotides in length. Their secondary structure includes four short double-helical elements and three loops (D, anti-codon, and T loops). Further hydrogen bonds mediate the characteristic L-shaped molecular structure. tRNAs have two regions of fundamental functional importance: the anti-codon, which is responsible for specific mRNA codon recognition, and the 3' end, to which the tRNAs corresponding amino acid is attached (by aminoacyl-tRNA synthetases). tRNAs cope with the degeneracy of the genetic code in two manners: having more than one tRNA (with a specific anti-codon) for a particular amino acid; and 'wobble' base-pairing, i.e. permitting non-standard base-pairing at the 3rd anti-codon position. The record is from Rfam by way of RNAcentral. RNAcentral also lists the same sequence under 2 other names. Lineage: Eukaryota; Metazoa; Chordata; Mammalia; Artiodactyla; Camelidae.
UGGGGUAUAGCUCAGAGGUAGAGCACAUGCUUAGCAUGCACGAAGUCCUGGGUUCAAUCCUUAGUACCUCCA